This is a long non-coding RNA of Homo sapiens (human), 1737 nucleotides long. RefSeq lists it as uncharacterized. NCBI's taxonomy places the organism in Eukaryota, Metazoa, Chordata, Mammalia, Primates, Hominidae. The record is from RefSeq and is a predicted model, not a curated record. The transcript has 2 exons.
GAAGGGGUACCACCCCCACGUAUCCCGAUCCCUUAGACCCACCCCCGAAACGGCACGUUCACACUCGAGGCCUGCCCCCUCCAGGACGCCACAUUCGCCCCCAUUCCCGGCUUGGGAGAGACAUCACCCCCGGACGACGGCGGCGCCCCCGCUAAUGCGCGCCCCCCGCCGCGCUGCCCUCCCAGCGAGAGGCCGCAGGACCAACCAGGUUCAAAGUGAUUCUGGAAAACCUCGCCCCCGAAGAAGCUGCAGAACGACAUGGCGCCACCGGAACCGCAGCGCGCUUGCCGCUGCCAACUGACCAAAGGCUGCCGACCCGACGACCGCCGGUACCCGCGUCCACCUCCCCGCCCCUCCCGAGGACCAAUCGCUCCCCGGAGGGCGAAUCCCGGCUUCCGCCUCCGGGAGGCCCCGCCCCUCCUCAGGGCUGGUCCAAUACGAUCUUCCCAGCUGGCCCCGCCCACGUUGACUCCUUGGGACCACUCCUGGGCCACUUCCCCAAGGCCCCGCCCCCCGGUGCCAGUCCAAUCGCAUCUCCCCAGCAGGCCCCGCCCAUGGAAACUCCCAGGGACCACCCCUAGGCCGCUUCCCCAAGGCCCCGCCCCUGCCGCCCCUCGCGCCCUGGUGGCUAGGGGCGCACAUGGGGCCUGGCCAGGUGGGCGACGGCGCGAAUCCGUAGGGUCGUGUCCCCCCAGUCCAGUCCCUGGUACUAAGCCCGGAGCUGCCGGAGGUCAUGCAGCCUUUCCGCGCCCAGGUGAAACCGCCUUUGCAAAAUGAUGACUGAAACAGUGAAAGAGAUCUAACUCAGCCGACUCUAUCUUGCUUCUAACCUCCAAGCUGUCCUUAUUCAUCCCUGCUGGUAGGUUGAAAUAACUUUGGGAGAAACUCAGUUUAUAGUUUUUUGUUUUUUUCUUUCUUUCUUUCUUUCUUUUGAGACGGAGUCUUACUCUGUUUCCAGGCUGGAGUGCAGUAGCGCGAUCUCAGCUCACUGCAACCUCCAACUCGCUGGUUCAAGCAAUUCUCCUGCCUCAGCCUCCCGAGUAGAUGGGAUUACAAUCAUGCGCCACCACGCCCAGCUAAUUUUGUAUUUUUAAUAGAGACGAGGUUUCUCGAUGUUGGCCAGGCUGGUCUUGAACUCCCGACCUCAGGUGAUCCGCCCAUCUUGGCCUCCCAAAGUGCUGGGAUUACAGGCGUGAGCCACCGCGCCCAGCCAGUUUAUAGUUUAAAACAAAGACAGUAACAGCCCUUUCCCAAAGCAGACCACCUCCUUGCCUGGGGACUAGAUUGCAUUUUUAGGACUAACAUUAGCCACAAUAUUGGGAAUUAUGGUUUAGGAGUCGUGCAUCUGGAGGCUACAAGAUUCUGACCCUCCCUAAGCUGCCCCUAAGAUCAGUGCUUGAGAUAUUUUGCCGACCCUGCAACUUGAUGGAUCUGCUGGCACCAACCAGAUUGAUAAACUGGCUCAUCUGAUCUUGUGGCCACCACCCAGGAGCUGACUCAGCGCAAGAAGACAGCUGACUCCCUGUGAUUUCCUCCCUGACCAAUCGGCUCUCCUGGCUCACUGGCUCUCCCCACCCGCCAAGUUAUCCUUAAAAACUCUGCUCCCCGGCACUCCAGCAGCCUGGGCGACAAGAUCAAGACUCUCUCAAAAAAAAAAAAAAAAAAAACCUCUGCUCCGCAAAUGCUCAAAGAGAUCGAUUUGAGUAAUAAUAAAACAUAAAACUCCGGUCUCCCGCA